UGAAGGGCGGGCUGGAACCUCUCGGGGUUACAGCCCUUGGCUGAAUUAUUCACCCUUGGUCUUUUGCGUACUUCUUGUUUCCUUGGUGGGUUCGCCCACCACUAGGACAAACAUAAACCUUUUUGUAAUUUGCAAUCAGCGUCAGUAACAAAUUAAUAAUUACAACUUUCAACAACGGAUCUCUUGGUUCUGGCAUCGAUGAAGAACGCAGCGAAAUGCGAUAAGUAGUGUGAAUUGCAGAAUUCAGUGAAUCAUCGAAUCUUUGAACGCACAUUGCGCCCUUUGGUAUUCCAAAGGGCAUGCCUGUUCGAGCGUCAUUUGUACCCUCAAGCUUUGCUUGGUGUUGGGCGUCUUGUCUCUAGCUUUGCUGGAGACUCGCCUUAAAGUAAUUGGCAGCCGGCCUACUGGUUUCGGAGCGCAGCACAAGUCGCACUCUCUAUCAGCAAAGGUCUAGCAUCCAUUAAGCCUUUUUUUCAACUUUUGACCUCGGAUCAGGUAGGGAUACCCGCUGAACUUAAGCAUAUCUAAACGGGGAAA
Molecule: ribosomal RNA, 537 nt
Filed under: Alternaria brassicae
Lineage: Eukaryota; Fungi; Ascomycota; Dothideomycetes; Pleosporales; Pleosporaceae
Description: eukaryotic LSU rRNA
Rfam family: 5.8S ribosomal RNA (bases 164-317)
Source: RNAcentral